GUGGAGCUUUAGACCUAAAGUAAACCACGUUUAAUGUACUAGAAUUAAUAGCAAAAACUUAGUGGACAUUUAUUUAAGUGUCUUUGGUUGGGGCGACCGCGGAGUAAAACAUAACCUCCAUGUGGACGGGGAUACUUUCCCUAAAACUCAGAGCCUCCACUCCAAGCAACAGAAAUUCUGACCUUACUGAUCCGGUACAACCGAUUAACGAACCC
RNAcentral lists this ribosomal RNA (215 nucleotides) under Merluccius productus (North Pacific hake). RNAcentral's name for it is "partial 16S ribosomal RNA". Lineage: Eukaryota; Metazoa; Chordata; Actinopteri; Gadiformes; Merlucciidae. The record is from RNAcentral.